Quercus robur (English oak) is the source of this 698-nucleotide long non-coding RNA. RefSeq lists it as uncharacterized. Lineage: Eukaryota; Viridiplantae; Streptophyta; Magnoliopsida; Fagales; Fagaceae. The record is from RefSeq and is a predicted model, not a curated record. The transcript has 2 exons.
GGAUUCGCCAGUCCCCACACACACGCGCAUGCACACUCCCCUUUAAUAAGCGAGCGAAAACGGAAAACAAAGCUCUUUACUGCGCAGUUGAUCACUGUUCCCUCGGUAUCGAUGUCCUUCCGUCUAAUCCUCUUUGGCGUUCUGGUUGGAAUCGUUAGCCUGACACGGCGUCUAUCCAGACUAAUGGCGGACGAAACAAGUCAUAGUAGCAGGAGAAGGGACUCUGUACCUCCUCCUCGUCGGAGUCGGAGGUUAUGCACAACUUGUCGAUUUGCAGAGAUACUUAACGGCGGCGGUAGCAGUGACGAACUUCGCCGAUUGACAGAGACUCUUUUGAGCGGCGAAACUCGCACUUAUUGCGAAGGGUGUAACGGUUGCCCAUUGGUAUCACACGGGAGCGCAAUUGUGGCCGCAUUAUGCUCGUGGUGGCCCUUGUUCGAACCCGUGGCUUCGCUGUUUUUCCUGCCUUUCACCUUCUUAUUCUACAUUGUUAGGUCUCCGUUCAGAGCCAUGCGCCCUCUGUUUGUUGCCUGGAUGUUUAUCAUGACUCUUAUCACUCGCGACUCUUGAUGUGAUAUCGGAUUUGGAUUUGUAUUAGAGUGCUCUUUAAUUUUCUUUCUAAGAUCUUUUCAGGGACCAUGGAAUCCUUUGAUGACCAAGAAAGGAAAAUAUGAUUAAUACCUUUCAUUUUUGGGUAA